Molecule: ribosomal RNA, 519 nt
Filed under: Pachylasma japonicum
Lineage: Eukaryota; Metazoa; Arthropoda; Thecostraca; Balanomorpha; Pachylasmatidae
Description: partial 16S rRNA
Rfam family: Bacterial large subunit ribosomal RNA
Source: RNAcentral
UUCCUCUUGGAAUAUGAGGUAAGGCCUGCUCACUGAAUAGUUAAAGAGCCGCAGUAUACUGACUGUGCNUAAGGUAGCAUAAUCAUUUGCCUUUUAAUUGAGGGCUGGUAUGAAUGGCUAAACGAGAGAUCGGCUUUUUUUAUUAUAAAUAUUUAAUUUAACUUUUUAGUGAAAAGGCUAAAGUUUAUUAGAAAGACGAGAAGACCCUAUAGAGUUUCAUAAGUAAAGAACUUACAUUUAAAUAGAUUUUUAUAAAUAUAAGUUUAGGAGCUUAUUUUGUUGGGGCGACAUUAAGAUAAAAAAAACUCUUUAUUUUUAAAACUUUUAUUAAAGAAAAAUAUAUUGAUCCUCUAGAAGAGACCAUAAGAAAAAAUUACCUUAGGGAUAACAGCGUAAUCUUUUUUGAGAGUUCUAAUCGACAAAAAGGUUUGCGACCUCGAUGUUGGACUAAAAUUUAGGCAGGGUGCAGCUGUUCUGCUUUAGGGUCUGUUCGACCCAUAAUAUUUUACAUGAUCUGAG